RNAcentral lists this ribosomal RNA (277 nucleotides) under uncultured prokaryote. RNAcentral describes it as "partial 16S ribosomal RNA". It matches the Rfam family "Bacterial small subunit ribosomal RNA", at positions 524 to 799 of the family's 1533-position model. The record is from RNAcentral.
UACGGUAGGGGCGAGCGUUGUCCGGAAUGAUUGGGCGUAAAGGGCGCGUAGGCGGCCCCGUGUGUCGUGUGUGAAAGCCCCGGGCUCAACCCGGGAAGUGCACGCGAAACUGCGGGGCUUGAGCGGAGUAGGGGAGAGCGGAAUUCAUGGUGUAGCGGUGAAAUGCGUUGAUAUCAUGAGGAACACCGGUGGCGAAGGCGGCUCUCUGGAAUCCUGCUGACGCUGAGGCGCGAAAGUCGGGGGAGCAAACAGGAUUAGAUACCCCCGUAGUCCCUGA